RNAcentral lists this ribosomal RNA (1896 nucleotides) under human metagenome. RNAcentral's name for it is "bacterial LSU rRNA". It matches the Rfam family "Bacterial large subunit ribosomal RNA", at positions 1 to 1976 of the family's 2925-position model. The record is from RNAcentral.
UGAAGUAAGUAAGGGCGUACGGUGAAUGCCUUGGUGCCAACAGGCGAAGAAGGACGCGGCAAGCUGCGAAAAUCCUCGGGAAGCUGCAAGCAAGCGAUGAUCCGGGGGUAUCCGAAUGGGGUAACCUGAUCGAGGCAAUACUCGAUCGUUCAUACCUGAAUACAUAGGGUAUGAAACGCGAAACCCGCUGAAGUGAAACAUCUCAGUAAGCGGAGGAAAAGAAAGAGAAAUCGAUUCCGUAAGUAGUGGCGAGCGAAAGCGGAUGGAGCCCAAACCGAAGGUACUCCUUCGGGGUUGUAGGACCACGAGAUAUUCGACCAUACUGGAUAGUAGAACAGCCUGGAAAGGCUGGCCGUAGAAGGUGAAAGCCCUGUAGACGAAAUCCAGCGUGGGAAUUAGUGGGAUCCUGAGUAAUACAUCACACGUGGAACGAUGUAUGAAUCAGCGCGGACCACCGCGCAAGGCUAAAUACUAGUUGGCGACCGAUAGUGAACAAGUACCGCGAGGGAAAGGUGAAAAGAACCGCUGUGAGCGGAGUGAAAUAGAACCUGAAACCGUAUGUCUACAAAGUGUCAGAGCAGAGCAAUCUGCGAUGGCGUGCCUUUUGUUUAAUGAGUCUGCGAGUCAGUGUUUGUGGCAAGACUAAGGGCUUCCGGCCCGGAGUCGCAGCGAAAGCAAGUCCGAAUAGGGCGAAUUAAGUCGCAGGUACUGGACCCGAAGCGGAGGUGACCUACCCUUGGCCAGGUUGAAGCAUGGGUAAAACCAUGUGGAGGACCGAACAGGUGAACGUUGAAAAGUUCUCUGAUGAGCUGAGGGUAGGAGUGAAAGGCUAAUCAAACCCCGUGAUAGCUGGUUCUCUUCGAAAUGCAUUUAGGUGCAGCGUCACGUGCUGAUGCGCGGGGGUAGAGCACUGACAAGGCUAGGGGGCACACCCGCUUACCAAACCUUAUCAAACUCCGAAUACCGUGCAAUGGAACGUGGCAGUGAGACAGUGGGGGAUAAGCUUCAUUGUCGAGAGGGAAACAACCCAGACCAGCAGCUAAGGUGCCUAAAUAACGCUCAGUGGAAAGGAUGUGGGAUUACACAGACAGUGAGGAUGUUGGCUUAGAAGCAGCCACCAUUUAAAAAAUGCGUAAUAGCUUACUCAUCGAGUGAUCCUGCGCCGAAAAUGAUUGGCGAUCAAGCGUUAUACCGAAGCUCUGGACUUUACCUUACGGUAGAGUGGUAGAAGAGCGUUGCAUGCGCGUUGAAGGGUGAUGGCGACUGACCCUGGAGCACAUGCAAGUGAGUAUGCAGACAUGAGUAACGUAAAGCCGGGUGAAAUCCCCGGCCGCCGUAAACCCGAGGUUUCCAGGGCAACGUGUUUCGUCCCUGGGUUAGCCGGGACCUAAGCCGAGGCCGAGAGGCGUAGGCGAUGGAUAUCAGGUUAAUAAUCCUGAGCUCGCGACCCUUAAACUGGGGGGACGCAUGAGAAAAGAUGACUAGGUUAUUGAAUUCCGAGUUGAGUCCACGGACUCAGCGCAUCAUUGGAUCGAGUGCCAAGAAAAGCCCCAGCGUAUGCUAAGCGACCCGUACCGCAAACCGACACAGGUGGGUGGGUAGAAUAUACCAAGGCGUAAGAGUGAAACCUGGUUAAGGAACUCGGCAAAUUAGCCCCGUAACUUCGGAAGAAGGGGUGCCUGCAGCGAUGCAGGCCGCAGAGAAAUGGCCCAACCGACUGUUUAUCAAAAACACAGCACUCUGCAAAGACGCAAGUCGAAGUAUAGGGUGUGACACGUGACCAAUGCCGAAAGAUUAAGGCAAGGGGUUAGCCGCAAGGCGAAGCUCUGAACCCAAGUCCCGGUGAAUGUCGGCCGUAACUAUAACGGUCCUAAGGUAGCGAAAUUCCUUGUCGGG